Molecule: ribosomal RNA, 240 nt
Filed under: Streptomyces sp. chida1
Lineage: Bacteria; Bacillati; Actinomycetota; Actinomycetes; Kitasatosporales; Streptomycetaceae
Description: partial 16S ribosomal RNA
Rfam family: Bacterial small subunit ribosomal RNA
Source: RNAcentral
GAUGAGCCCGCGGCUAUCCACCUAUUUGGGGAGGUAACGGCUCACCAAGGCGACAACGGGUAGCCGGCCUGAGAGGGCGACCGGCCACACUGGGACUGAGACACGCCCAGACUCCUACGGGAGGCAGCAGUGGGAAAUAUUGCACAAUGGGCGAAAGCCUGAUGCAGCGACGCCGCGUGAGGGAUGACGGCCCUUCGGGUUGUAAACCUCUUUCAGCAAGGAUGAUGAAGCGAAACAACU